RNAcentral lists this ribosomal RNA (1075 nucleotides) under Natribaculum sp. RNAcentral describes it as "bacterial SSU rRNA". It matches the Rfam family "Archaeal small subunit ribosomal RNA", at positions 52 to 1128 of the family's 1478-position model. Lineage: Archaea; Methanobacteriati; Methanobacteriota; Halobacteria; Halobacteriales; Natrialbaceae. The record is from RNAcentral.
UGCUAGUCGUACGAGUUCAGACUCGUGGCGAAUAGCUCAGUAACACGUGGUCAAACUACCCUGUCGAGCGGGACACCCUCGGGAAACUGAGGCUAAUCCCGCAUACGGCUCGCUGCCUGGAGUGGCGCGAGCUCGAAACGCUCCGGCGCGACAGGAUGUGACUGCGGCCGAUUAGGUAGACGGUGGGGUAACGGCCCACCGUGCCGAUAAUCGGUACGGGUUGUGAGAGCAAGAGCCCGGAGACGGUAUCUGAGACAAGAUACCGGGCCCUACGGGGCGCAGCAGGCGCGAAACCUUUACACUGCACGCCAGUGCGAUAAGGGGACUCCCAGUGCGAGGGCAUAUCGUCCUCGCUUUUGUGUACCGUAGGGAGGUACACGAAUAAGGGCUGGGCAAGACCGGUGCCAGCCGCCGCGGUAAUACCGGCAGCCCGAGUGAUGACCGCUAUUAUUGGGCCUAAAGCGUCCGUAGCCGGCCACGCAAGUCCGUCGGGAAAUCCGCACGCCUAACGUGCGGGCGUCCGGCGGAAACUGCCUGGCUUGGGACCGGAAGACCAGAGGGGUACGUCCGGGGUAGGAGUGAAAUCCCGUAAUCCUGGACGGACCACCGGUGGCGAAAGCGCCUCUGGAAGACGGAUCCGACGGUGAGGGACGAAAGCUCGGGUCACGAACCGGAUUAGAUACCCGGGUAGUCCGAGCCGUAAACGAUGUCUGCUAGGUGUGCCACUGGCUACGAGCCAGUGGUGUGCCGUAAGGAAGCCGUGAAGCAGACCGCCUGGGAAGUACGUCCGCAAGGAUGAAACUUAAAGGAAUUGGCGGGGGAGCACUACAACCGGAGGAGCCUGCGGUUUAAUUGGACUCAACGCCGGACAUCUCACCAGCACCGACNGUAGCCGUGAAGAUCAGUGUGAUGAGCUUAUUGGAGCUACUGAGAGGAAGUGCAUGGCCGCCGUCAGCUCGUACCGUGAGGCGUCCUGUUAAGUCAGGCAACGAGCGAGACCCACACUCCUAAUUGCCAGCAUGACCCACGUGGUUGAUGGUACAUUAGGAGGACUGCCAGUGCCAACUGGAGGAAG